ACUGAAAGAGCGACGCAGAAAGCAACAGCCAGAAACGGCGGGGACGCGAGCGGCCCAGACAGGAAGGGAGGCGGUGGCGCAGCUCUGGUGCGCAGCGCGCCGCAGCGACGGAACUUCUGCAAAAGCUGCCUGCCCGCGCGUUAUCAGCGGCGCGCAGGCCUGUGGUUUUCUCGCUCUCGCAACCCUGCUUUAACUGCCGGUUUAUUUUUCGACAAACAGGAUGCCUCCAUCUGAGGCUGUCAGUUGGGCAGGUGAGUGGGGUAGUUAUGGAGACCACCUGAGAGAGCCUGGAACACGGUUGGUGCUGGCAACCUACAGGGCCCCAGCCCUUGGCGAGGUAUCUUUCUGGAGAAAUGCUUCCUAGUGUUCCUAGCCAUUCCUUGCCUCAGGCACCUUCACUACCAUCCCAAUCACAGGCCUACUGCUCUUCCUGGUCCAGCUUGCUGGUCCUAGUGCUUAGCUUCUCUCUUAAGGGGAUCUUUUGACCUCUGUAGGAAUUUCUUCCGUCUUGGGCUUCUGGCAUGGUUCUAUUGGUCACCUGGCACCCUCCUCACCACUUCAGUGGUGCCCCCAACUCUGCUUCUAGGACUCUGGCAAGUCCUACAACCACGAUCCUGGUAAUAGUACGAGGUUGGAUUUGUCAACCUUGUCACGAUCACAUUUCUGUUCUGCGCAUUGUGGGCUGUUUGGUAGCAUCUUUGGCAUCUGCCUACUGGAUGUUAGUACAGUCCCCUCUAUCCCUUGAGUUGUGACAACUAGAAAUGUCUCCAGACAGUGCCAAAUGACCCCCUUCCUCCUCACACUGCCUCCUUCUUCCAGGUAAAAACCACUGGUGAGGCCGGGUGCGGUGGCUCACGCCUGUAAUCCAAGCACUUUGGGAGGCCAAGGCGGGUGGAUCACGAGGUUAGGAGAUCGAGACUAUCCUGGCUAACACGGUGAAACCAUGUCUCUACUAAAAAUACAAAAAAUUAGCCGGGCAUGGCGGUGUGCACCUGUAAUCCCAGCCACUCAGGAGGCUGAGGCAGGAGGAUGGCGUGAACCUGGGAGGCAGAGCUUGCAGUGAGUCGAGAUCGUGCCACUGCACUCCAGCCUGAGUGACAGAGUGAGACUCUGUCUCAAAAAAAAAUAAAAAAUAAAAAAACCACUGGUGUAAGAUAUUUUAAGGUGACAAGCAUGGAGAAGAAGAGAAAAGUAAUGAGGAAAAACUAAACUGGCAAGAUCAAUAAAUAUGGUCUAAAUAAAUGAAAAAGGAGAUUGACUAAAUAGACCCAUGGGAAAUGAAACCAGGAGAUAAAAUGUUAAAGAAAAGUAUAAAAAUUGCAAAGAUAAGAGGGCAUUAGAUCGGCUCAAAAUGGAUUAAAGACUUAAACCUAAAACCUGAAACUAUAAAACUACUGGAAGAAAACACAGGGGAGAGGCUUCUUGCCAUUGGUCUGGGCAAAGAUUUUUUUGAAUAUGAUCUCAAAGCAUACGCAACAAAAGCAACAGUAGACAACUAGGAUGGCUUCAAAAUAAAAAGCUUUUGCACAGAAAAGGAAACAUUCAACAGAAUAAAGACAAAACCUACAGAAAGGGAAAGAAUACUGGCAAAUCAUAGCAUUUGAUAAGGUAUUAAUUUCCAAACUACAUAAAGAACUCAAACAACUCAAUAGCAAGGAAAUAAAUAAUGUGAUUUAAAAACUGGGCAAAGGACCUGAAAAAAACAUUUCUCAGAAAAAGGUACACACAUGUCCAGUAAGUAUAAAAAAUACUCAACAUCACUCCUCAUCAUGCAAAUUAAAACCACAGUGAGCUAUCACCUCACACCUGGUAGGAAAGCUUUUAUCAAAAAGUUAAGAGAUGGCCGGGUGCGGUGGCUCACGCCUGUAAUCCCAGCACUUUGGGUGGCCAUGGCAGGCAGAUCACCUGAGGUCAGGAGUUCGAGACCAGCCUGACCAACAUGGAGAGACCCUGUCUCUACUAAAAAUACAAAAUUAGCUGGGCAUGGUGGCGCACACCUGUAAUCCCAGCUACUCGGGAGGCUGAGGCAAGAGAAUUGCUUGAACCUAAGAGGCAGACGUUGCGGUGAGCCGAGAUCGUGCCACUGCACUCCAGCCUGGGCAACAAGAACGAAACUCCGUCUCAAAAAAAUAGAAAAAUCAAGAGAUAACAAGUAUUGGUGAGGUUGUGGAGAAAGGGAGCUCUUGCACACUCUUGGUGGGAAGCCAUUAUGGAAAACUGUAUGGAGGUUCCCCCCAAAAUUAAAAAUAGACUACCCUAUGAUCCAGAAAUCUUAUUUCUUGAUUUUUUGGUAUAUAUCCAAAGGAAAUGAAGUCAGUAUGUCGAAGAGAUAUCUG
RNAcentral lists this long non-coding RNA (2336 nucleotides) under Homo sapiens (human). Its description in RNAcentral is "non-protein coding lnc-CLIC6-6:1". Lineage: Eukaryota; Metazoa; Chordata; Mammalia; Primates; Hominidae. The record is from RNAcentral.